Molecule: ribosomal RNA, 140 nt
Filed under: Novosphingobium sp. PhB57
Lineage: Bacteria; Pseudomonadati; Pseudomonadota; Alphaproteobacteria; Sphingomonadales; Sphingomonadaceae
Source: RNAcentral
CUUGGUGACCAUAGCGUCAGUGACCCACCCGAUCCCAUCUCGAACUCGGCCGUGAAACCUGACAGCGCCAAUGGUACUAACGCUCAAGCGUUGGAAGAGUAGGACGUCGCCAGGCAUUGAAGCCGGCGUGCUGUAAAAAA